Molecule: long non-coding RNA, 774 nt
Filed under: Heterocephalus glaber (naked mole-rat)
Lineage: Eukaryota; Metazoa; Chordata; Mammalia; Rodentia; Bathyergidae
Description: lncRNA (ENSHGLG00000040474.1)
Source: RNAcentral
UGCAUCUCUCGGAGUGCUUUGUGUAGUCAUCAGUCAUCGCUGUUGUUGCAUAUUCCCGUCAAUCUUCUGUGUCCUGCUACCUCCCUAGCCUGAAGAAAGCAUGCAGAUGAUGCCAUAAAACGACUGUAAAACUAAAUAUCUAGAGCUAUCCAUAGCUCAGCUCCCCUCAGGCAGCUUUCACCACUAGCUUUGGAAUGAAGAAGGGUCUCUGGGAUUGAAUCAGCCAUUCUCACCGCAAACUAAAACAGGAAACCCUCAGAAUCAGGGUCACCAGAUGAAGUUAUUACCCACAUAAGAUGGUUUUCUAUAGAAAGAGAGCUUCUAUUGACACUUACAAGCCAAAAAUACUAUAUAGAUCAAUUAGAACAUCAAAAUCAUGGGACUCGGAAGAGAUUUCUUGACACCCCUGGAUAACAUGGAAAUGGAAAAACUUUUCUUAUAAACCAACUUACUGCCAAUAGUGAGUGAAGCGAGCCCUGCUCUUCAGGGAUGUCCAGUCUGGAGCUGCUCAAGUGUCCCCAUGCAGCUGCUGCACCAUUGCCACCGCCGAUUCUUUCCCUGCAUUUGGUGCACACGCCUCAUGUCACAAACCAAGUGUGUGGAUUAACCGUUUCCCACGUUCUGUGUUUCACAGAGGUCCUGGAAUGUUUCCUUGUACUCUUCUUUUGGGGUAUAGAGAAUGCCUUAAAAAGCAGCGUCCCAAAUUUAAACACAUCGAACAGGAACUUCCGGAAUACUUUGCAACUUACCAGUUUGUAUGCUGCUAUACUAUAG